This 46-nucleotide non-coding RNA is filed under the name Schistosoma bovis. Lineage: Eukaryota; Metazoa; Platyhelminthes; Trematoda; Strigeidida; Schistosomatidae. RNAcentral also lists the same sequence under 1 other name. The record is from RNAcentral.
GCACUUCUGAAGAGUCCCACAAUAGGACGAAACGGCCAUCCAGGAC